UUUGAAUGGACAACUAAUCCCAUGUGCCACCUUAUCCACUUGUGCGCCACUUCCUCCACACGAGAAAAAGUUUCUCGUGUAAACUCUCCAUGCACAAAGAGGCCCACGCCCCUCCCUUCUCACACCUUGAGUGGAUAAGGAUAAGUUGGUUGGCAUUUGAAUUCAAAUUCGAUUUGAAUUCAAGUGAGCAACCACCUAGC
Molecule: long non-coding RNA, 200 nt
Filed under: Elaeis guineensis (African oil palm)
Lineage: Eukaryota; Viridiplantae; Streptophyta; Magnoliopsida; Arecales; Arecaceae
Description: long non-coding RNA (EGUI_LNC028131)
Source: RNAcentral